This 506-nucleotide ribosomal RNA is filed under the name uncultured bacterium. RNAcentral describes it as "partial 16S ribosomal RNA". It matches the Rfam family "Bacterial small subunit ribosomal RNA", at positions 28 to 523 of the family's 1533-position model. The record is from RNAcentral.
GAUGAACGCUAGCUACAGGCUUAACACAUGCAAGUCGAGGGGUAACGAGAGGAAAGCUUGCUUUCCUUGUCGACGACCGGCGCACGGGUGAGUAACGCGUAUCCAACCUGCCCCCAACUAGGGAAUAACCUUGCGAAAGUAAGGCUAAUACCCUAUAAUUUCCUCAGAUGACAUCUGACGAGGAAUAAAGAUUUAUCGGUUGUGGAUGGGGAUGCGUCUGAUUAGCUUGUUGGCGGGGUAACGGCCCACCAAGGCAACGAUCAGGAGGGGUUCUGAGAGCAAGGUCCCCCACAUUGGAACUGAGACACGGGCCAAACUCCUACGGGAAGCAGAAGUAGGGAAUGUUGGUCAAUGGGCGGAAGCCUGAACCAGCCAAGUAGGGUACAGGAUGACGGCCCUAUGGGUUGUAAACUGCUUUUAUACAGGAAUAAAGUUAGCCACGUGUGGUUAUUUGUAGGUACUGAAUGAAUAAGGACCGGCUAAUUCCGUGCCAGCAGCCGCCGUAA